Non-coding RNA from Salmo salar (Atlantic salmon), 58 nucleotides. Lineage: Eukaryota; Metazoa; Chordata; Actinopteri; Salmoniformes; Salmonidae. The record is from Rfam.
UGGCUCAGUUGGUAGAGCAUGGUGUUUGCAACGCCAGGGUUGUGGGUUCGUUUCCCAC